CCUACGGGAGGCAGCAGUGGGGAAUAUUGGGCAAUGGGCGCAAGCCUGACCCAGCAACGCCGCGUGAAGGAAGAAGGCUUUCGGGUUGUAAACUUCUUUCCUCAGGGACGAAGGAAGUGACGGUACCUGAGGAAUAAGCCACGGCUACCUACGUGACAGCAGCCGCGGUAAUACGUAGGUGGCACGCGUUAUCCGGCUUUAUUGGGUGUAAAGGGCGGGGAGGCGGGAGCGCAAGUCAGAUGUGAAAACUCAGGGCUCAACCGUGGGCCUGCAUUGGAAACUGUGUGUAUUGAGUGCGGGAGAGGCAAGCGGAAUUCCGGGUGUAGUGGUGAAAUGCGUCGAUAUACGGAGGAACACCAGUGGCGAAGGCGAAUUGCUGGACAGUAACUGACGCUGAGGCGCGAAAGCGUGGGGAGCAAACAGGAUUAGAUACCCUGGUAGUC
RNAcentral lists this ribosomal RNA (443 nucleotides) under uncultured bacterium. RNAcentral describes it as "partial 16S ribosomal RNA". It matches the Rfam family "Bacterial small subunit ribosomal RNA", at positions 338 to 795 of the family's 1533-position model. The record is from RNAcentral.